GGUUAAGCGACUAAGCGUACACGGUGGAUGCCCUGGCAGUCAGAGGCGAUGAAGGACGUGCUAAUCUGCGAUAAGCGUCGGUAAGGUGAUAUGAACCGUUAUAACCGGCGAUUUCCGAAUGGGGAAACCCAGUGUGUUUCGACACACUAUCAUUAACUGAAUCCAUAGGUUAAUGAGGCGAACCGGGGAACUGAAACAUCUAAGUACCCCGAGGAAAAGAAAUCAACCGAGAUUCCCCCAGUAGCGGCGAGCGAACGGGGAGCAGCCCAGAGCCUGAAUCAGUGUGUGUGUUAGUGGAAGCGUCUGGAAAGGCGCGCGAUACAGGGUGACAGCCCCGUACACAAAAAUGCACAUACUGUGAGCUCGAUGAGUAGGGCGGGACACGUGGUAUCCUGUCUGAAUAUGGGGGACCAUCCUCCAAGGCUAAAUACUCCUGACUGACCGAUAGUGAACCAGUACCGUGAGGGAAAGGCGAAAAGAACCCCGGCGAGGGGAGUGAAAAAGAACCUGAAACCGUGUACGUACAAGCAGUGGGAGCCUCUUUAUGGGGUGACUGCGUACCUUUUGUAUAAUGGGUCAGCGACUUAUAUUCUGUAGCAAGGUUAACCGAAUAGGGGAGCCGAAGGGAAACCGAGUCUUAACUGGGCGUUAAGUUGCAGGGUAUAGACCCGAAACCCGGUGAUCUAGCCAUGGGCAGGUUGAAGGUUGGGUAACACUAACUGGAGGACCGAACCGACUAAUGUUGAAAAAUUAGCGGAUGACUUGUGGCUGGGGGUGAAAGGCCAAUCAAACCGGGAGAUAGCUGGUUCUCCCGAAAGCUAUUUAGGUAGCGCCUCGUGAAUUCAUCUCCGGGGUAGAGCACUGUUUCGGCAAGGGGGUCAUCCCGACUUACCAACCCGAUGCAAACUGCGAAUACCGGAGAAUGUUAUCACGGGAGACACACGGCGGGUGCUAACGUCCGUCGUGAAGAGGGAAACAACCCAGACCGCCAGCUAAGGUCCCAAAGUCAUGGUUAAGUGGGAAACGAUGUGGGAAGGCCCAGACAGCCAGGAUGUUGGCUUAGAAGCAGCCAUCAUUUAAAGAAAGCGUAAUAGCUCACUGGUCGAGUCGGCCUGCGCGGAAGAUGUAACGGGGCUAAACCAUGCACCGAAGCUGCGGCAGCGACACUAUGUGUUGUUGGGUAGGGGAGCGUUCUGUAAGCCUGUGAAGGUGUACUGUGAGGUAUGCUGGAGGUAUCAGAAGUGCGAAUGCUGACAUAAGUAACGAUAAAGCGGGUGAAAAGCCCGCUCGCCGGAAGACCAAGGGUUCCUGUCCAACGUUAAUCGGGGCAGGGUGAGUCGACCCCUAAGGCGAGGCCGAAAGGCGUAGUCGAUGGGAAACAGGUUAAUAUUCCUGUACUUGGUGUUACUGCGAAGGGGGACGGAGAAGGCUAUGUUGGCCGGGCGACGGUUGUCCCGGUUUAAGCGUGUAGGCUGGUUUUCCAGGCAAAUCCGGAAAAUCAAGGCUGAGGCGUGAUGACGAGGCACUACGGUGCUGAAGCAACAAAUGCCCUGCUUCCAGGAAAAGCCUCUAAGCAUCAGGUAACAUCAAAUCGUACCCCAAACCGACACAGGUGGUCAGGUAGAGAAUACCAAGGCGCUUGAGAGAACUCGGGUGAAGGAACUAGGCAAAAUGGUGCCGUAACUUCGGGAGAAGGCACGCUGAUAUGUAGGUGAAGCGACUUGCUCGUGGAGCUGAAAUCAGUCGAAGAUACCAGCUGGCUGCAACUGUUUAUUAAAAACACAGCACUGUGCAAACACGAAAGUGGACGUAUACGGUGUGACGCCUGCCCGGUGCCGGAAGGUUAAUUGAUGGGGUUAGCGCAAGCGAAGCUCUUGAUCGAAGCCCCGGUAAACGGCGGCCGUAACUAUAACGGUCCUAAGGUAGCGAAAUUCCUUGUCGGGUAAGUUCCGACCUGCACGAAUGGCGUAAUGAUGGCCAGGCUGUCUCCACCCGAGACUCAGUGAAAUUGAACUCGCUGUGAAGAUGCAGUGUACCCGCGGCAAGACGGAAAGACCCCGUGAACCUUUACUAUAGCUUGACACUGAACAUUGAGCCUUGAUGUGUAGGAUAGGUGGGAGGCUUUGAAGUGUGGACGCCAGUCUGCAUGGAGCCGACCUUGAAAUACCACCCUUUAAUGUUUGAUGUUCUAACGUUGACCCGUGAUCCGGGUUGCGGACAGUGUCUGGUGGGUAGUUUGACUGGGGCGGUCUCCUCCUAAAGAGUAACGGAGGAGCACGAAGGUUGGCUAAUCCUGGUCGGACAUCAGGAGGUUAGUGCAAUGGCAUAAGCCAGCUUGACUGCGAGCGUGACGGCGCGAGCAGGUGCGAAAGCAGGUCAUAGUGAUCCGGUGGUUCUGAAUGGAAGGGCCAUCGCUCAACGGAUAAAAGGUACUCCGGGGAUAACAGGCUGAUACCGCCCAAGAGUUCAUAUCGACGGCGGUGUUUGGCACCUCGAUGUCGGCUCAUCACAUCCUGGGGCUGAAGUAGGUCCCAAGGGUAUGGCUGUUCGCCAUUUAAAGUGGUACGCGAGCUGGGUUUAGAACGUCGUGAGACAGUUCGGUCCCUAUCUGCCGUGGGCGCUGGAGAACUGAGGGGGCUGCUCCUAGUACGAGAGGACCGGAGUGGACGCAUCACUGGUGUUCGGGUUGUCAUGCCAAUGGCACUGCCCGGUAGCUAAAUGCGGAAGAGAUAAGUGCUGAAAGCAUCUAAGCACGAAACUUGCCCCGAGAUGAGUUCUCCCUGACCCUUUAAGGGUCCUGAAGGAACGUUGAAGACGACGACGUUGAUAGGCCGGGUGUGUAAGCGCAGCGAUGCGUUGAGCUAACCGGUACUAAUGAACCGUGAGGCUUAACCUU
RNAcentral lists this ribosomal RNA (2896 nucleotides) under Escherichia coli. RNAcentral's name for it is "23S ribosomal RNA". It matches the Rfam family "Bacterial large subunit ribosomal RNA". Lineage: Bacteria; Pseudomonadati; Pseudomonadota; Gammaproteobacteria; Enterobacterales; Enterobacteriaceae. The record is from RNAcentral.